UCGGAUCGCAGGCUGCAACUCGCCUGCGUCAAGUUGGAAUUGCUAGUAAUCGCGGAUCAGCAUGCCGCGGUGAAUACGUUCCCGGGCCUUGUACACACCGCCCGUCACACCAUGAGAGUCGGGAACACCCGAAGUCCGUAGUCUAACCGCAAGGAGGGCGCGGCCGAAGGUGGGUUCGAUAAUUGGGGUGAAGUCGUAACAAGGUAAC
This 208-nucleotide ribosomal RNA is filed under the name uncultured bacterium. RNAcentral's name for it is "partial 16S ribosomal RNA". It matches the Rfam family "Bacterial small subunit ribosomal RNA", at positions 1293 to 1500 of the family's 1533-position model. The record is from RNAcentral.